Molecule: ribosomal RNA, 253 nt
Filed under: uncultured bacterium
Lineage: Bacteria
Description: partial 16S ribosomal RNA
Rfam family: Bacterial small subunit ribosomal RNA
Source: RNAcentral
UACGUAGGUGGCAAGCGUUGUCCGGAAUUAUUGGGCGUAAAGCGCGCGCAGGCGGCCUUUUAAGUCUGAUGUGAAAGCCCACGGCUCAACCGUGGAAGGUCAUUGGAAACUGAGAGGCUUGAGUACAGAAGAGGAAAGCGGAAUUCCACGUGUAGCGGUGAAAUGCGUAGAGAUGUGGAGGAACACCAGUGGCGAAGGCGGCUUUCUGGUCUGUAACUGACGCUGAGGCGCGAAAGCGUGGGGAGCAAACAGG